RNAcentral lists this transfer RNA (72 nucleotides) under Schistocephalus solidus. It matches the Rfam family "tRNA". Rfam says of the family: Transfer RNA (tRNA) molecules are approximately 80 nucleotides in length. Their secondary structure includes four short double-helical elements and three loops (D, anti-codon, and T loops). Lineage: Eukaryota; Metazoa; Platyhelminthes; Cestoda; Diphyllobothriidea; Diphyllobothriidae. The record is from Rfam by way of RNAcentral.
GAGCCUGUGGCUCAUCGGUAGAGCGUUCGACCCAAUGGUCAAAUUUCGCGGGUUCGAAUCCCACCUGGUUCA